UAAGGGCGCACGGUGGAUGCCUUGGCACUAGAAGCCGAUGAAGGACGUUACUAACGACGAUAUGCUUUGGGGAGCUGUAAGUAAGCUUUGAUCCAGAGAUUUCCGAAUGGGGAAACCCAGCAUGAGUUAUGUCAUGUUAUCGAUAUGUGAAUACAUAGCAUAUCAGAAGGCACACCCGGAGAACUGAAACAUCUUAGUACCCGGAGGAAGAGAAAGAAAAUUCGAUUCCCUUAGUAGCGGCGAGCGAAACGGGAAGAGCCCAAACCAACAAGCUUGCUUGUUGGGGUUGUAGGACACUCUAUACGGAGUUACAAAGGACGACAUUAGACGAAUCAUCUGGAAAGAUGAAUCAAAGAAGGUAAUAAUCCUGUAGUCGAAAAUGUUGUCUCUCUUGAGUGGAUCCUGAGUACGACGGAGCACGUGAAAUUCCGUCGGAAUCUGGGAGGACCAUCUCCUAAGGCUAAAUACUCUCUAGUGACCGAUAGUGAACCAGUACC
RNAcentral lists this ribosomal RNA (497 nucleotides) under Staphylococcus aureus. Its description in RNAcentral is "partial 23S ribosomal RNA". It matches the Rfam family "Bacterial large subunit ribosomal RNA", at positions 12 to 502 of the family's 2925-position model. The record is from RNAcentral. Lineage: Bacteria; Bacillati; Bacillota; Bacilli; Caryophanales; Staphylococcaceae.